UGCCUACGGGGGGCAGCAGUGGGGAAUAUUGCACAAUGGGGGAAACCCUGAUGCAGCAACGCCGCGUGAGUGAAGAAGUAUCUCGGUAUGUAAAGCUCUAUCAGCAGGGAAGAAGAUGACGGUACCUGACCAAAAAGCCCCGGCUAACUACGUGCCAGCAGCCGCGGUAAUACGUAGGGGGCAAGCGUUAUCCGGAUUUACUGGGUGUAAAGGGGGCGCAGACGGCAAUGCAAGCCAGGAGUGAAAGCCCGGGGCCCAACCCCGGGACUGCUCUUGGAACUGCAUGGCUGGAGUACAGGAGGGGG
Molecule: ribosomal RNA, 305 nt
Filed under: uncultured bacterium
Lineage: Bacteria
Description: partial 16S ribosomal RNA
Rfam family: Bacterial small subunit ribosomal RNA
Source: RNAcentral